GUACACUCCUACGGGAGGCAGCAGUGGGGAAUUUUGGACAAUGGGCGAAAGCCUGAUCCAGCAAUGCCGCGUGAGUGAAGAAGGCCUUCGGGUUGUAAAGCUCUUUUGUCAGGGAAGAAACGGUGAAAGCUAAUAUCUUUUGCUAAUGACGGUACCUGAAGAAUAAGCACCGGCUAACUACGUGCCAGCAGCCGCGGUAAUACGUAGGGUGCAAGCGUUAAUCGGAAUUACUGGGCGUAAAGCGUGCGCAGGCGGUUUUGUAAGUCUGAUGUGAAAUCCCCGGGCUCAACCUGGGAAUUGCAUUGGAGACUGCAAGGCUAGAAUCUGGCAGAGGGGGGUAGAAUUCCACGUGUAGCAGUGAAAUGCGUAGAUAUGUGGAGGAACACCGAUGGCGAAGGCAGCCCCCUGGGUCAAGAUUGACGCUCAUGCACGAAAGCGUGGGGAGCAAACAGGAUUAGAUACCCCGGUAGUCCCAUGA
Molecule: ribosomal RNA, 478 nt
Filed under: uncultured organism
Description: partial 16S ribosomal RNA
Rfam family: Bacterial small subunit ribosomal RNA
Source: RNAcentral